RNAcentral lists this long non-coding RNA (587 nucleotides) under Glycine max (soybean). RNAcentral's name for it is "long non-coding RNA (GMAX_LNC000477)". Lineage: Eukaryota; Viridiplantae; Streptophyta; Magnoliopsida; Fabales; Fabaceae. The record is from RNAcentral.
UUACAAUCCAACCCCAUCAACUCCCCCUAGUGGUGGAAGCUAUGAUCCAACUCCAUCACCACCCUCAGAUGGAGGUGAAAAUUGCAAUCCAACCCCAUCAACUCCUCCCGGUGGUGGAAGCUAUGAUCCAACUCCAUCACCACCCUCAAGUGGUGGUGGUGGAAGUUACAAUCCAACCCCAUUAACUCCCCCUGGUGGUGGAAGCUAUGAUACAACUCCAUCACCACCCUUAGGUGGAGGUGGAAGUUACAAUCCAACCCCAUCAACUCCUCCAGGUGGUGGAAGCUAUGAUCCAACUCCAUCACCACCCUCAGGUGAUGGUGGUGGUGGAAGUUACAAUCCAACUCCAUCAACUCCCCCAGGUGGUGGAAGCUAUGAUCCAACCCCAUCACCACCCACAAAUGGUGGAAGUUACAAUCCAACCCCAUCAACUCCUCCUGGUGGUGGAAGCUAUGAUCCAACUCCAUCACCACCCUCGGGUGGUGGAAGUUACAAUCCAACUCCAUCAACUCCCCCAGGUGGUGGAAGCUAUGAUCCAACCCCAUCACCACCCACAAAUGGUGGAAGUUACAAUCCAACCCCAUCAA